UGAGAUGUUGGGUUAAGUCCCGCAACGAGCGCAACCCUUGAUCUUAGUUGCCAUCAUUAAGUUGGGCACUCUAAGGUGACUGCCGGUGACAAACCGGAGGAAGGUGGGGAUGACGUCAAAUCAUCAUGCCCCUUAUGACCUGGGCUACACACGUGCUACAAUGGACGGUACAAAGAGCUGCAAGACCGCGAGGUGGAGCUAAUCUCAUAAAACCGUUCUCAGUUCGGAUUGUAGGCUGCAACUCGCCUACAUGAAGCUGGAAUCGCUAGUAAUCGCGGAUCAGCAUGCCGCGGUGAAUACGUUCCCGGGCCUUGUACACACCGCCCGUCACACCACGAGAGUUUGUAACACCC
Molecule: ribosomal RNA, 353 nt
Filed under: uncultured Bacillus sp.
Lineage: Bacteria; Bacillati; Bacillota; Bacilli; Caryophanales; Bacillaceae
Description: bacterial SSU rRNA
Rfam family: Bacterial small subunit ribosomal RNA
Source: RNAcentral